Long non-coding RNA from Wyeomyia smithii (pitcher-plant mosquito), 377 nucleotides. RefSeq lists it as uncharacterized. NCBI's taxonomy places the organism in Eukaryota, Metazoa, Arthropoda, Insecta, Diptera, Culicidae. The record is from RefSeq and is a predicted model, not a curated record. The transcript has 3 exons.
AGUGUUGGAGCAUAGAAGCAUAGAAAAAUUGUAAACAAACAGAUACUGUAAAAGCAGGAAGGUAAAAAGAGAUUCUGGCGUGGUUAAAGAUAGAAUUUACGGGAGAUUAGUAGAAAAUUUGAUAGUAAAAGUGAAGUUCGGAAAGAUAGAUCAGUUGGAAGUGAAAGAUAGUGUUGCAUCGUUGGUAAUAAUUCAGGCAGUUUAAGGUUGGGGAAAUCGCAUGCAAGGAAAAACUAGAUUUUUGAAGCUGUUUAAAGUGAAACUGCUGUUCAAAACUGUUUUUACUUGUCUUGGCCGAAAACGUGAAACCCAACAAACUUCAAAAAUCUAGUUCGGAGAACAUAACCUGUGAGAAUGCGCUCAUCACUUUCCAAAGA